Molecule: ribosomal RNA, 497 nt
Filed under: uncultured bacterium
Lineage: Bacteria
Description: partial 16S ribosomal RNA
Rfam family: Bacterial small subunit ribosomal RNA
Source: RNAcentral
GAUGAACGCUGGCGGCGUGCCUAAUACAUGCAAGUCGAGCGAACAGACGAGGAGCUUGCUCCUCUGACGUUAGCGGCGGACGGGUGAGUAACACGUGGAUAACCUACCUAUAAGACUGGGAUAACUUCGGGAAACCGGAGCUAAUACCGGAUAAUAUAUUGAACCGCAUGGUUCAAUAGUGAAAGACGGUUUUGCUGUCACUUAUCGAUGGAUCCGCGCUGCAUUAGCUAGUUGGUAAGGUAACGGCUUACCAAGGCAACGAUGCGUAGCCGACCUGAGAGGGUGAUCGGCCACACUGGAACUGAGACACGGUCCAGACUCCUACGGGAGGCAGCAGUAGGGAAUCUUCCGCAGUGGGCGAAAGCCUGACGGAGCAGCGCCGCGUGAGUGAUGAAGGUCUUCGGAUCGUAAAACUCUGUUAUUAGUGAAGAACAAAUGUGUAAGUAACUGUGCACGUCUUGACGGUACCGAAUCAGAAAGCCACGGCUAACUACGUG